AUACAUGCAAGUCGAGCGAACAGACGAGGAGCUUGCUCCUCUGACGUUAGCGGCGGACGGGUGAGUAACACGUGGAUAACCUACCUAUAAGACCGGGAUAACUUCGGGAAACCGGAGCUAAUACCGGAUAAUAUAUUGAACCGCAUGGUUCAAUAGUGAAAGACGGUUUUGCUGUCACUUAUAGAUGGAUCCGCGCCGCAUUAGCUAGUUGGUAAGGUAACGGCUUACCAAGGCAACGAUGCGUAGCCGACCUGAGAGGGUGAUCGGCCACACUGGAACUGAGACACGGUCCAGACUCCUACGGGAGGCAGCAGUAGGGAAUCUUCCGCAAUGGGCGAAAGCCUGACGGAGCGACGCCGCGUGAGUGAUGAAGGUCUUCGGAUCGUAAAACUCUGUUAUUAGGGAAGAACAAAUGUGUAAGUAACUAUGCACGUCUUGACGGUACCUAAUCAGAAAGCCACGGCUAACUACGUGCCAGCAGCCGCGGUAAUACGUAGGUGGCAAGCGUUAUCCGGAAUUAUUGGGCGUAAAGCGCGCGUAGGCGGUUUUUUAAGUCUGAUGUGAAAGCCCACGGCUCAACCGUGGAGGGUCAUUGGAAACUGGAAAACUUGAGUGCAGAAGAGGAAAGUGGAAUUCCAUGUGUAGCGGUGAAAUGCGCAGAGAUAUGGGGGAACACCAGUGGCGAAGGCGACUUUCUGGUCUGUAACUGACGCUGAUGUGCGAAAGCGUGGGGAUCAAACAGGAUUAGAU
Molecule: ribosomal RNA, 750 nt
Filed under: uncultured Staphylococcus sp.
Lineage: Bacteria; Bacillati; Bacillota; Bacilli; Caryophanales; Staphylococcaceae
Description: bacterial SSU rRNA
Rfam family: Bacterial small subunit ribosomal RNA
Source: RNAcentral